AUACGUAGGGGGCGAGCGUUGUCCGGAAUGAUCGGGCGUAAAGGGCGCGUAGGCGGCCCGGUAAGUCUGGAGUGAAAGUCCUGUUUUUAAGAUGGGAAUUGCUUUGGAUACUGUCGGGCUUGAGUGCAGGAGAGGUAAGUGGAAUUCCCAGUGUAGCGGUGAAAUGCGUAGAGAUUAGGAGGAACACCAGUGGCGAAGGCGACUUACUGGACUGUAACUGACGCUGAGGCGCGAAAGUGUGGGGAGCAAACAGGAUUAGAUACCCUGGUAGUCCACACUGUAAACGAUGAAUGCUAGGUGUAGGGGGUAUCGACCCCUUCUGUGCCGCAGUCAACACAAUAAGCAUUCCGCCUGGGGAGUACGGCCGCAAGGUUGAAACUCAAAUGAAUUGACGGGG
RNAcentral lists this ribosomal RNA (397 nucleotides) under uncultured bacterium. RNAcentral describes it as "partial 16S ribosomal RNA". It matches the Rfam family "Bacterial small subunit ribosomal RNA", at positions 523 to 918 of the family's 1533-position model. The record is from RNAcentral.